RNAcentral lists this ribosomal RNA (253 nucleotides) under uncultured prokaryote. Its description in RNAcentral is "partial 16S ribosomal RNA". It matches the Rfam family "Bacterial small subunit ribosomal RNA", at positions 524 to 776 of the family's 1533-position model. The record is from RNAcentral.
GACAGAGGUGGCAAGCGUUGUUCGGAUUCAUUGGGUGUAAAGGGCAGGUAGGUUGUUUUAUAAGUCUGACGUGAAAUCCCAGGGCUCAACCCUGGAACUGCGUUGGAAACUAUAUGACUUGAGUAUCGGAGAGGUAAGGGGAAUUCUCGGUGUAAGGGUGAAAUCUGUAGAUAUCGAGAGGAACACCAGUGGCGAAGGCGCCUUACUGGCCGAUUACUGACACUGAGCUGCGAAAGCAAGGGGAGCAAACAGG